GACGAACGCUGGCGGCGUGCUUAACACAUGCAAGUCGAACGGAAAGGCCCUGCUUUUGUGGGGUGCUCGAGUGGCGAACGGGUGAGUAACACGUGAGUAACCUGCCCUUGACUUUGGGAUAACUUCAGGAAACUGGGGCUAAUACCGGAUAGGAGCUCCUGCUGCAUGGUGGGGGUUGGAAAGUUUCGGCGGUUGGGGAUGGAAUCGCGGCUUAUCAGCUUGGUGGUGGGGUAGUGGCUUACCAAGGCUUUGACGGGUAGCCGGCCUGAGAGGGUGACCGGCCACAUUGGGACUGAGAUACGGCCCAGACUCCUACGGGAGGCAGCAGUGGGGAAUAUUGCACAAUGGGCGGAAGCCUGAUGCAGCAACGCCGCGUGCGGGAUGACGGCCUUCGGGUUGUAAACCGCUUUCGCCCGUGACGAAGCGUGAGUGACGGUAAUGGGUAAAGAAGCACCGGCUAACUACGUG
RNAcentral lists this ribosomal RNA (468 nucleotides) under uncultured bacterium. RNAcentral's name for it is "partial 16S ribosomal RNA". It matches the Rfam family "Bacterial small subunit ribosomal RNA", at positions 28 to 507 of the family's 1533-position model. The record is from RNAcentral.